UUUGCAGCGACGUAGAUAGAAUCUUCCACAAUGGACGCAAGUCUGAUGGAGCAACGCCGCGUGAGUGAAGAAGGGUUUCGGCUCGUACAGCUCUGUUGUUAAAGAAGAACGUGGGUGAGAGUAACUGUUCACCCAGUGACGGUAUUUAACCAGAAAGCCACGGCUAACUACGUGCCAGCAGCCGCGGUAAUACGUAGGUGGCAAGCGUUAUCCGGAUUUAUUGGGCGUAAAGCGAGCGCAGGCGGUCUUUUAAGUCUAAUGUGAAAGCCUUCGGCUCAACCGAAGAAGUGCAUUGGAAACUGGGAGACUUGAGUGCAGAAGAGGACAGUGGAACUCCAUGUGUAGCGGUGAAAUGCGUAGAUAUAUGGAAGAACACCAGUGGCGAAGGCGGCUGUCUGGUCUGUAACUGACGCUGAGGCUCGAAAGCAUGGGUAGCGAACAGGAUUAGAUACCCUGGUAGUCCAUGCCGUAAACGAUGAUUACUAAGUGUUGGAGGGUUUCCGCCCUUCAGUGCUGCAGCUAACGCAUUAAGUAAUCCGCCUGGGGAGUACGACCGCAAGGUUGAAACUCAAAAGAAUUGACGGGGGCCCGCACAAGCGGUGGAGCAUGUGGUUUAAUUCGAAGCUACGCGAAGAACCUUACCAGGUCUUGACAUCUUCUGCCAACCUAAGAGAUUAGGCGUUCCCUUCGGGGACAGAAUGACAGGUGGUGCAUGGUGUCGUCAGCUCGUUAAUU
RNAcentral lists this ribosomal RNA (735 nucleotides) under Pediococcus acidilactici. RNAcentral describes it as "bacterial SSU rRNA". It matches the Rfam family "Bacterial small subunit ribosomal RNA", at positions 340 to 1068 of the family's 1533-position model. The record is from RNAcentral. Lineage: Bacteria; Bacillati; Bacillota; Bacilli; Lactobacillales; Lactobacillaceae.